This 253-nucleotide ribosomal RNA is filed under the name uncultured bacterium. RNAcentral's name for it is "partial 16S ribosomal RNA". It matches the Rfam family "Bacterial small subunit ribosomal RNA", at positions 524 to 776 of the family's 1533-position model. The record is from RNAcentral.
UACAGGGGGUGCAAACGUUGCUCGGAAUCAUUGGGCGUAAAGCGCACGUAGGCGGUCUGUUAUGUCGGAUGUGAAAGCCCUUGGCUCAACUGAGGAAGUGCAUCCGAAACUGGCAGGCUAGAGUACUAAAGAGGGUCGCGGAAUUCCCGGUGUAGAGGUGAAAUUCGUAGAUAUCGGGAGGAACACCGGUGGCGAAGGCGACUUCCUGGCCUGUUCUUGACGCUGAGGCGCGAAAGCUAGGGUAGCAAACGGG